AGUCAAGUAAUUAAGUGCAUGUGGUGGAUGCCUUGGCAGUCAGAGGCGAUGAAAGACGUGAUAGCCUGCGAAAAACUCCGGGGAGGCGGCAAAUAUCCUUUGAUCCGGAGAUGUCUGAAUGGGGGAACCCACCUACUUUAAGGUAGGUAUUGCAACAUGAAUACAUAGUGUUGCAAGGCGAACGAGGGGAAGUGAAACAUCUCAGUACCCUUAGGAAAAGAAAUCAAUUGAGAUUCCCUCAGUAGCGGCGAGCGAACGGGGAUCAGCCCAUUAAGUUAUGUGUGUUUUAGUGGAACGCUCUGGGAAGUGCGAACGUAGAGGGUGAUAUUCCCGUACACGAAAGGGCACACAUAAUGAUGACGAGUAGGGCGAGGCACGUGAAACCUUGUCUGAAUAUGGGGGGACCAUCCUCCAAGGCUAAAUACUCCUGACUGACCGAUAGUGAACCAGUACCGUGAGGGAAAGGCGAAAAGAACCCCUGUGAGGGGAGUGAAAUAGAUCCUGAAACCGCAUGCAUACAAGCAGUGGGAGCACCUUCGUGGUGUGACUGCGUACCUUUUGUAUAAUGGGUCAGCGACUUAUAUUCAGUAGCAAGGUUAACCGUAUAGGGGAGCCGUAGAGAAAUCGAGUCUUAAUAGGGCGUUUAGUUGCUGGGUAUAGACCCGAAACCAGGCGAUCUAUCCAUGAGCAGGUUGAAGGUUGGGUAACACUAACUGGAGGACCGAACCCACUGUCGUUGAAAAGCCAGGGGAUGACUUGUGGAUAGGGGUGAAAGGCUAAUCAAGCCUGGUGAUAGCUGGUUCUCCCCGAAAGCUAUUUAGGUAGCGCCUCGGACGAAUACCAUAGGGGGUAGAGCACUGUUUCGGCUAGGGGGUCAUCCCGACUUACCAAACCGAUGCAAACUCCGAAUACCUAUGAGUACUAUCCGGGAGACAGACUGCGGGUGCUAACGUCCGUAGUCAAGAGGAAAACAAUCCAGACCGCCAGCUAAGGCCCCAAAAUCAUAGUUAAGUGGGAAACGAUGUGGGAAGGCAUAGACAGCUAGGAGGUUGGCUUAGAAGCAGCCACCCUUUAAAGAAAGCGUAAUAGCUCACUAGUCGAGUCGGCCUGCGCGGAAGAUGUAACGGGGCUAAAACUAUGUGCCGAAGCUGCGGAUUUGACUUUGUAAGUGGUAGGGGAGCGUUCUGUAAGCCGAUGAAGGUGUGUUGAGAAGCAUGCUGGAGGUAUCAGAAGUGCGAAUGCUGACGUGAGUAACGACAAAACGGGUGAAAAACCCGUUCGCCGAAAGACCAAGGGUUCCAGUCCAACGUUAAUCGGGGCUGGGUGAGUCGACCCCUAAGGCGAGGCCGAAAGGCGUAGUCGAUGGGAAAAUGGUUAAUAUUCCAUUACUUCUGUGUAAUGCGAUGAGAGGACGGAGAAGGCUAAAUCAGCCUGGCGUUGGUUGUCCAGGUGAAAGGAUGUAGGCAUGUAUCUUAGGCAAAUCCGGGGUACUCUAUGCUGAGAUCUGAUAGCAAGCUGUACUUGUACAGCGAAGUGGUUGAUGCCAUGCUUCCAGGAAAAGUCUCUAAGCUUCAGUUACACAGGAAUCGUACCCGAAACCGACACAGGUGGUCAGGUCGAGUAGACCAAGGCGCUUGAGAGAACUCUGCUGAAGGAACUAGGCAAAAUGGUACCGUAACUUCGGGAGAAGGUACGCUGUUGUUGGUGAUGGAACUCGCUUCCUGAGCUGACGACAGCCGCAGAAACCAGGCCGCUGCAACUGUUUAUUAAAAACAUAGCACUCUGCAAACACGAAAGUGGACGUAUAGGGUGUGAUGCCUGCCCGGUGCUGGAAGGUUAAUUGAUGGGGUUAGCGUAAGCGAAGCUCUUGAUCGAAGCCCCAGUAAACGGCGGCCGUAACUAUAACGGUCCUAAGGUAGCGAAAUUCCUUGUCGGGUAAGUUCCGACCUGCACGAAUGGCAUAAUGAUGGCGGCGCUGUCUCCAGCAGAGGCUCAGUGAAAUCGAAAUCGCUGUGAAGAUGCAGUGUACCCGCGGCUAGACGGAAAGACCCCGUGAACCUUUACUGCAGCUUGACACUGAACUUUGACCUUACUUGUGUAGGAUAGGUGGGAGGCUUUGAAGCUGGAACGCUAGUUCCAGUGGAGCCGUCCUUGAAAUACCACCCUGGUAAUGUUGAGGUUCUAACUCUGUCCCGUGAUCCGGGACGAGGACCGUGUCUGGUGGGUAGUUUGACUGGGGCGGUCUCCUCCUAAAGAGUAACGGAGGAGUACGAAGGUGCGCUCAGCGUGGUCGGAAAUCACGCGUAGAGUAUAAAGGCAAAAGCGCGCUUAACUGCGAGACCCACAAGUCGAGCAGGUACGAAAGUAGGUCUUAGUGAUCCGGUGGUUCUGUAUGGAAGGGCCAUCGCUCAACGGAUAAAAGGUACUCUGGGGAUAACAGGCUGAUACCGCCCAAGAGUUCAUAUCGACGGCGGUGUUUGGCACCUCGAUGUCGGCUCAUCUCAUCCUGGGGCUGAAGCAGGUCCCAAGGGUAUGGCUGUUCGCCAUUUAAAGAGGUACGCGAGCUGGGUUUAGAACGUCGUGAGACAGUUCGGUCCCUAUCUACCGUGGGCGCUGGAAAUUUGAGAGGAUCUGCUCCUAGUACGAGAGGACCAGAGUGGACGAACCUCUGGUGUACCGGUUGUGACGCCAGUCGCAUCGCCGGGUAGCUAUGUUCGGAAGGGAUAACCGCUGAAAGCAUCUAAGCGGGAAGCCUACCUCAAGAUAAGAUUUCCCUAGGACUUUAUGUCCUCUAAAGAGCCGUUCGAGACUAGGACGUUGAUAGGUUGGAUGUGGAAGCAUAGUGAUAUGUGAAGCUGACCAAUACUAAUUGCUCGUGAGGCUUGACUAU
This 2890-nucleotide ribosomal RNA is filed under the name Acinetobacter baumannii. RNAcentral's name for it is "23S ribosomal RNA". It matches the Rfam family "Bacterial large subunit ribosomal RNA". The record is from RNAcentral. Lineage: Bacteria; Pseudomonadati; Pseudomonadota; Gammaproteobacteria; Moraxellales; Moraxellaceae.